AGCCGCGGUAAUUCCAGCUCCAAUAGCGUAUAUUAAAGUUGUUGCAGUUAAAAGCUCGUAGUUGAAUUUCGGGGUUAGUAGGUUGGUCAUGCCUCCGGUAUGUACUGGUCUCACUGAUUCCUCCUUCCUGAUGAGCUGUAAUGCCAUUAAUUUGGUGUUGCAGGGAAUCUGGACUGUUACUUUGAAAAAAUUAGAGUGUUUAAAGCAGGCUAACGCUUGAAUACAUUAGCAUGGAAUAAUGAAAUAGGACGUUCGAUCCUAUUUUGUUAGGUUUCUAGGAUUGACGUAAUGAUUAAUAGGGAUAGUUGGGGGCAUUAGUAUUCAAUUGUCAGAGGUGAAAUUCUUGGAUUUAUUGAAGACUAACUACUGCGAAAGCAUUUGCCAAGGAUGUUUUCAUUAAUCAAGAACGAAAGUUAGGGGGAUCGAAGACGAUCAGAUACCGUCGUAGUCUUAACCAUAAACUAUGCCGACUAGGGAUCGGAUGAUGUUAAUUUUUUAAUGACUCAUUCGGCGCCUUACG
RNAcentral lists this ribosomal RNA (520 nucleotides) under uncultured Glomus. RNAcentral's name for it is "SSU rRNA". It matches the Rfam family "Eukaryotic small subunit ribosomal RNA", at positions 572 to 1092 of the family's 1831-position model. The record is from RNAcentral. Lineage: Eukaryota; Fungi; Glomeromycota; Glomeromycetes; Glomerales; Glomeraceae.